RNAcentral lists this transfer RNA (77 nucleotides) under Bacteroidota bacterium. RNAcentral describes it as "Bacteroidetes bacterium (marine metagenome) tRNA-Arg". It matches the Rfam family "tRNA". Rfam says of the family: Transfer RNA (tRNA) molecules are approximately 80 nucleotides in length. Lineage: Bacteria; Pseudomonadati; Bacteroidota. The record is from RNAcentral.
GGGUAAGUAGCUCAAUUGGAUAGAGCAACGGUCUUCUAAACCGUAGGUUGCGGGUUCGAGUCCCGCCUUGCCUACCA